Molecule: long non-coding RNA, 2503 nt
Organism: Misgurnus anguillicaudatus (oriental weatherfish)
Lineage: Eukaryota; Metazoa; Chordata; Actinopteri; Cypriniformes; Cobitidae
Source: RefSeq, a predicted model, not a curated record
UAUUUAUGAUAACAAUUAAAUGAUUAAUCUAUUCAAUCAAUGUAUAAAUGUGCAUUCAUCUUUGCCAUAUUAUAUUAAUUUAGUUGAACAGUGGUAUACACUGAUAAAAAAUAAACAUUAAUGGCAUUAAUCAAAACACUUACUUUGUCAUUAAGAACACUGUCAUUGCAGCGGUUAUACUUGAAGCCUUCGCUUAACAUGUUUCAAAGCGAUCCGCUGUAAAAUGUUUUGGUCCUGCUCGAUUCUCGUUGACUUUGAGUACUGUAAAAUAAUGUAAAGUUUUUCAAAAGAUCCCCUGGGUCAAUGUGUUAGAAUCACAUAAACUUCACAGAUGCUGUCGGGAGAACAAGCACCCAUCUCCCGAGUGCCUCUCACGUAAGUUAUUAGAUGUUGAUGACUUACAAUCUUUCCCGUCAAAGAAAACAACCACGGGUUUAUCAAUGCCAUUAAAGUAUUAUUUUGUUUGUUGAUCACGAAGUACAAAGUAGAUGAGGAAAACUAGGACUCUGUGUACUCAACGCGCCACCAUUGUUUGUUUACAUUGCGUGGAAUGGUGGGCUGUAAUUUGUGGAGCGGAUUUAUUGCGUUCUGUAGAAAUGGAAGAGUGGGGUAUAUCACGUUUUGGGAAAAAAGGGAAAAAGGUUGCCAGAACAAUACUGCGGAUAUUGGAUUUUGUGUAAAAUUAAGAAUUUACUUUUAAAUACUGACCUGAUAUAAUUCUGAUUUUGGCAGUAACUUAUUUUUUUCCAAAAAUGGCGUUUAUCGCGUUUUGGAACCAAACCCUUCAAAUAUACCUGUGCGAUUUAUGACUAUGGUUUUGUGGUCCAGAGUAAAAAUUGGUAGAGCAUUACAUUAAAAACACAAAAGGGAACACACAUACAAAAUGUAAAGAUUGAAUGCACAAAUGUUUGCUGGUUUUAAAGUAACAUGGCCACUUACAUUGUUCAGAAGACUAGUUUAAACCUAACAACCGGCUUGGUCUAGUUUGAGCUGAUUUAAGCAUGGCUAUACUUGCGUCAUUAAUGAAACACCUUAUUUUAAACGAAAGCAUAUUGUUAAAAAUAUCAUUAAAAAUGAUCCAUCCAUCUAUGAUUUCAACGCAGUCCGCUCAUUUUCGCUGUCAUAGAGGUGUGAUGAUACAUCCUACUAUCCUCUUGGCCGUUAUUUCUUGGGUCUGUUCAUUUUCUCAUCAUUAGAAUAGACCGUGCGAUGGAAACGAGUGAAAAUUUUCACACUUCCCAAAUCCUGCCCUCAUCACAUUCAGACUAGAGCUUCAUAGUAUUACAUUUUCCUACAGUAUGAGCAAUGUUGCUUUGCCAGUGUUUUGAAGAAGUAUGCAGCCACUUUACAGCAGACGUUCUGUACAUAUCUGCCAGUCUUCAGAUGUGAAAAAUAAGGGCUUGUGGUUAGUUGUCACUAUGAGGCUUGACUUGUAUUGGAAAUCCAUCAGGGUGUGUGCGCAAGUGUGAAUCUCUGCUCGGAGACAACCAGAGACAGAGCACUCACCUUGCUUUUCCGAUGACUCAAUCCAUCUAUUUUAGGAACGUUAAGUACAUGGAAUAGAUGCCUGUCUUUGAUGAAACCUACAACUCUCUGCAAGCCUUUGUGCAAAACCUGUAAACUGCCACUGUCAGUUUUGUAUCCUUCUGGCCUGACGUGGGGAUUUAAUGACAUGAAUGUCUUUAAUUGUCUCUUGGGGCAUGAAUGACGAAACUCGUGGUAACUUUAAGGACGGAAUUUCUGUCAAACCUCAAGAUAUGAUGGAUAUCUCUUAACAUUGACAGAACAACUUUACCCGGUUGUUUACACUGGAAGUUUGUUUUUUAUGUACAGUAUAUGUAUGUUGCCAAAUAUUUGUGAGAAGCUUACAAAAUGUUUCUUGUCACAGGAUUUAACCUUGCACCAGGAGAGUUCUGAGUUUGUGUUUUUGUGUGUAUUACCUUUUCCCGCAAGGACUACACUAACUGUAAGUGUUUGCCAAGAUCGGUGAUGUUCAAAACUGAAAGCAGUAUUAUUAGCAGUAGAUUUUACAUUAUUCUUACACAGAUUUGAGGAAACUGGUUGUACACCAAAGGUCUGAACUUUUUGCCGGGCAAAAUCUAUUUUGCAUUCUUUUAUCGUAAAAUACAUUUGAUUCUUAAGAUGUUUUAUCAUUGCACAUUGUGACAAACAGCACAGGUCAUUGUGUAAAUCACAUCAUCAUCAUGCAAACUCUUUCAUUUAGCACCUGCUGAUUGAAGACUGCUAUUACUAUGAAUAAGGGACAAUGCAACACUCAAUAUGGCUGCUCUGGUGACGGAAGUCCCGCCUUCUUGUUAAGCUGACGAUCCACGUGGGCGGGUCCGACGUGUUUUUGUUUACAAACUAUUAAGUUUACCAUGUAUUAUAUAUUGACAGAGGACGGUAAUAAACUUGUCAUGCUAUAUGUCAUUACAAACGUCAAAGGGUUUAGAUUUGAUAUCUGUGUGUUGUUUCAUAAAAUAAAUGCAUAUGGAACAUUAAA